CUCCUGGAAACGGGUGGUAAUGCCGGAUGCUCCGCCCCCUCGCAUGGGGGGUCGGGAAGGCUUUUGCGGAAUGGGAUGGGGUCGCGUCCUAUCAGCUUGUUGGCGGGGCGACGGCCCACCAAGGCCUCGACGGGUAGCCGGCCUGAGAGGGCGACCGGCCACAUUGGGACUGAGAUACGGCCCAGACUCCUACGGGAGGCAGCAGUGGGGAAUAUUGCACAAUGGGGGGAACCCUGAUGCAGCGACGCCGCGUGCGGGAUGGAGGCCUUCGGGUCGUGAACCGCUUUUGAUUGGGAGCAAGCGUGAGUGAGUGUACCUUUCGAAUAAGCACCGGCUAACUACGUGCCAGCAGCCGCGGUAAUACGUAGGGUGCAAGCGUUGUCCGGAAUCAUUGGGCGUAAAGGGCUCGUAGGCGGUUCGUCGCGUCCGGUAUGAAAGCCCAUCGCUUAACGGUGGGUCUGCGCCGGGUACGGGCGGGCUUGAGUGCGGCAGGGGAGGCUGGAAUUCCCGGUGUAACGGUGGAAUGUGUAGAUAUCGGGAAGAACACC
Molecule: ribosomal RNA, 548 nt
Filed under: uncultured Bifidobacterium sp.
Lineage: Bacteria; Bacillati; Actinomycetota; Actinomycetes; Bifidobacteriales; Bifidobacteriaceae
Description: bacterial SSU rRNA
Rfam family: Bacterial small subunit ribosomal RNA
Source: RNAcentral